GCCAGGCGUGGUCGCAUGCACCUGUAGUCCCAGCUACUCAGGAGGCUGAGGCAGGAGAAUCGUUUCAAUUCAGGAGGUGGAGGUUGCAGCGAGCAGAGAUUGAGCCACUGCACUCCAGCCUGGGUGACAAAGUGAGACUCUGUCAAAAAAAAAACCAACCUUUUUUUUUCUUUUUUGAAACAGAGUCUUGAUCUCUUGCCAGGCUGGAGUGCAGUGGCUCAAUCUCAGCUCACUGCAACCUCCACCUCCUGGGUUUAAGCGAUUCUCCUGCCUCAG
RNAcentral lists this small RNA (276 nucleotides) under Callithrix jacchus (white-tufted-ear marmoset). RNAcentral describes it as "Metazoan signal recognition particle RNA (ENSCJAG00000067118.2)". The record is from RNAcentral. Lineage: Eukaryota; Metazoa; Chordata; Mammalia; Primates; Cebidae.